CAACAGAGGUGUCGAUCGACAC
Molecule: non-coding RNA, 22 nt
Filed under: Arabidopsis thaliana (thale cress)
Lineage: Eukaryota; Viridiplantae; Streptophyta; Magnoliopsida; Brassicales; Brassicaceae
Source: RNAcentral